This is a long non-coding RNA of Fukomys damarensis (Damara mole-rat), 280 nucleotides long. RefSeq lists it as uncharacterized. Lineage: Eukaryota; Metazoa; Chordata; Mammalia; Rodentia; Bathyergidae. The transcript is spliced from 3 exons. The record is from RefSeq and is a predicted model, not a curated record.
UGGGCUACCUUUGCAGGAGGUGUUGCUGUAGGAAGAAGCGGUGGCUGUCAGGGCAGCUGAGCCUCAGCCUCAAGGGAGCGGACCCAGGGAGGUGAGAGAGCAGAUGAUGCCAAAGCAUUUUAUAUUUGUAAAAUUCCAUCUGAUACCCUGAACGAGCUCCUUCAGUACAACCCUCUGAGGAGUUUGCAUGUAAUAAACAGAAGACAACCCGUAUGCCCCCUGCACUUUAUGGGCGGACAAGACAAAUGGUCCGGUCUCAGAUGACAACCUAGAUUUAUAA